UUUUUCUUUAAUUAUGGUAAAAUAUCCAUAAUAUAAAACUGACCACUCGAAUCAUUUCUAAGUGAGCAGUUCAGUGGCAUUUGGCAUACUUACAUUGUUGUGCAGCCAUCACCCCCAUCCAUCCACAGAACUUUUUCAUCUUCCCAAACUGAAACUCUGUAUCCAUUAAAUAACAAAUCCCCACCCUUCCCCGCCCCUGGCAACCACUGUCUACUUUCUGUCUCCAUGGAUUUGACUACAGUGUGUCUAAGUGGGAUCAUUCAGCAUUUGUCCUUUUGUGACUGGCCUAUUUCACCCCUCUGUUUUAUACCUUUCUGCUGCGUGGCGCUUUGGCUUUCUAUGUUCUGCGGCGGUGGGUGGUAAAGUGGAUGUCCUGCUUUUAAUUCUGAGGGCUCGCUUCUCAGUUUUCAAAAACACACUUUAAUCUCUGAUUCUCCAAUUAUCAAGCAUUUGCCAUGAAAUGAUACUUGCUGCUCCCCAGCACUGCAGACUGUGUAAGAGACAUCUCAGCCAGCAUUUGGAUUAAGUCAAACCCCAGGAAUCCGCACCUCCUCCACCUCAUCACCCAAUAAAAAAGGUGGAGAAAUUGAGGCCCCAAGCAGGGGCAGACUCACUGGGGUCACAUGACACAUGCUGGCUCGCCCAGGCCCUACUCAUGUUUCGGCACAACGACCCUGCUCUGCCUCCGUCCCCAAGACCCUGGGCUGUGCAACCAGGGCCAGACCUGUUCUUCAGCCGCACCAGGGCCUGGCUGUGCCUCUGCCUGUCAGUGGCCAAGCCCUGAGCCUGGAGCCAUCCAGAGCCGCACGGAACCCACAGCCUGCAGGGUGGGGCUAGACAUGGCUCCUCCUGCCCGCCCGUGGGUCGUACACCAGCUCAUUAGAGCCAAAGCAGCAUCGAUUUUGUGAAUGAUGAGCAUGUGUACGUGUUUUUGGAGCCCUGGUGUGAUUUGGCGUGUGCAGCUGAUGAUUCAGGGGGGUCAUGUGCAAACGACACGCCUUAUAAAUGUGAACCCACCAGAACGCCCCGUUACGGAGAUUUACACUGAUCCUUAAACAUCGUAGAUUAAUUUUUGGAAAACAUCUAUAAAAUAAGAGAUUUAUACCUAAAACAAUACCCUAUGCUGUGACAGGAAGGGAUUAGAGUCAAUUUAUUCCUGUAUUAGUCAAAAACUCAAUUUCAUAUAUUGUGUGGAAAAAUUAAAACCCUUUCUACAUUUUAUUACAAAUUAUGCAUACUCCAUAUAUGGAGAUAAAUAAUUGAUAGCAUUACAAAUACUUAAUCUAGAAAAUAUUUAUUAGGAACAGACAACUCAUUUUUCAUGUGUUUUGUUGAGAACAAUAUUGCACACUUUAAAAAAUUAAUGAUGACUCUUUGCAAAAAUAAAUGUCUACAUCCUAAUUCUUUUGUUUAGCAUUGUGUCCAAGCCAGGCAGACGCAGCCGGGCAGUGGGCAGGUGGCCAUGGAGCUGGGAUGUCCACUCCCUGGCCCCUGGCUGUGGAUGGGUCAGAGGGCUCAUGUGCUGUGGCAGUUGGCCAGGGAAGGUGCAUUUGGAGAGUGUCAACAUACUGUUUGUCUUCUGCUGUGCAAACUCUCCUCGACUUGUAAUUUAAAACUAAAAGUGUUUCCGACUUAAUUUCUGAGAAAGCACCAAGUAAUGGGAUUUGUGGAUGGACUUGAAGAGCCAAGAAAUCAACACUGACUGCCUCUCGACCUGGAGAAUUACGGAGCCCAUGAAUUCUCUGGGCCUCAGCUCUGGUCCCAGGCUCUGUGCACAAAGAGAGGUGGGCCUGGUGGGUGGUGCGGAGCUUGGCCUUGUACUUCGUGGCUGGCUCAGCCUGCCCUCCUGGGACAAGUGGCUCUGCCGGGUUCUGUGUGCCUCCUGGCAUCUCUCUGAGGGGAGCUCCCAGCCUCUGCCUAGAAUACCUGGGCAGCGUGUUCAGACCUGGGGCCCCCUGCACCAUCACCCCAUUCCAGGCUGGGAAGCUUGAGGACCCAGGCAGGGAAGCUUGAGGACCCAGGCAGGGCCCCAGUGUGCCACAGGGCUUGGCCACUGUGCAACUGCACUGCAGCUCUGGCCUCUGGCCGGGCCUUGCUUACCGACCUCUGCCCUCUGCCGUGUGUCCUCCACCUUGGCCAUGCACAGCGGGGGCUAGGCGGGCACAUGGUGGAGGCUGCCAAUGGUGCCCUGGCAAGUUCUCUUCGCCCUCGUGCCAGCCACUCCAGGGAGCACCAGGGAUUGAAUAAAUAACUGCCACGUUUAUUAAAAAAUAAAUUUGGUGCCUAACGGAAG
RNAcentral lists this long non-coding RNA (2293 nucleotides) under Homo sapiens (human). RNAcentral describes it as "HSALNT0275411". Lineage: Eukaryota; Metazoa; Chordata; Mammalia; Primates; Hominidae. The record is from RNAcentral.